RNAcentral lists this ribosomal RNA (616 nucleotides) under Saccharomyces cerevisiae (brewer's yeast). Its description in RNAcentral is "partial 26S ribosomal RNA". It matches the Rfam family "Eukaryotic large subunit ribosomal RNA", at positions 70 to 664 of the family's 3401-position model. Lineage: Eukaryota; Fungi; Ascomycota; Saccharomycetes; Saccharomycetales; Saccharomycetaceae. The record is from RNAcentral.
ACUGGAUGCUUAGUACGGCGAGUGAAGCGGCAAAAGCUCAAAUUUGAAAUCUGGUACCUUCGGUGCCCGAGUUGUAAUUUGGAGAGGGCAACUUUGGGGCCGUUCCUUGUCUAUGUUCCUUGGAACAGGACGUCAUAGAGGGUGAGAAUCCCGUGUGGCGAGGAGUGCGGUUCUUUGUAAAGUGCCUUCGAAGAGUCGAGUUGUUUGGGAAUGCAGCUCUAAGUGGGUGGUAAAUUCCAUCUAAAGCUAAAUAUUGGCGAGAGACCGAUAGCGAACAAGUACAGUGAUGGAAAGAUGAAAAGAACUUUGAAAAGAGAGUGAAAAAGUACGUGAAAUUGUUGAAAGGGAAGGGCAUUUGAUCAGACAUGGUGUUUUGUGCCCUCUGCUCCUUGUGGGUAGGGGAAUCUCGCAUUUCACUGGGCCAGCAUCAGUUUUGGUGGCAGGAUAAAUCCAUAGGAAUGUAGCUUGCCUCGGUAAGUAUUAUAGCCUGUGGGAAUACUGCCAGCUGGGACUGAGGACUGCGACGUAAGUCAAGGAUGCUGGCAUAAUGGUUAUAUGCCGCCCGUUGAAAACGGGGGGCCAAAAAAAAAAAAAAAAAAGGGAAAGGAAAAAAAAA